CAGAGAUGGCUGAGUUGGUCUAAGGCGCACGACUGGAAAUCGUGUAUGCAUGGAAGUGCAUCAAGGGUUCGAAUCCCUUUCUCUGC
Molecule: transfer RNA, 86 nt
Filed under: bovine gut metagenome
Rfam family: tRNA
About the family: Transfer RNA (tRNA) molecules are approximately 80 nucleotides in length.
Source: RNAcentral